UGGGGAAUUGUUCGCAAUGGGCGCAAGCCUGACGACGCAACGCCGCGUGGGGGAUGAAGGUCUUCGGAUUGUAAACCCCUGUCGAGCGGGACGAAUGGCCCGCGACCUAAUACGUCGUGGGAGUGACGGUACCGCUAAAGGAAGCCACGGCUAACUCUGUGCCAGCAGCCGCGGUAAUACAGAGGUGGCAAGCGUUGUUCGGAAUUACUGGGCGUAAAGGGCGCGUAGGCGGCCUUCUAAGUCAGACGUGAAAUCCCCCGGCUCAACCUGGGAACUGCGUCUGAUACUGGGAGGCUUGAGUGCGGGAGAGGGAUGCGGAAUUCCAGGUGUAGCGGUGAAAUGCGUAGAUAUCUGGAGGAACACCGGUGGCGAAGGCGGCAUCCUGGACCGACACUGACGCUGAGGCGCGAAAGCUAGGGUAGCAAACGGGAUUAGAUACCCCGGUAGUCCUAGCCCUAAACGAUGAGUGCUUGGUGUGGCGGGUAUCGAUCCCUGCCGUGCCGAAG
RNAcentral lists this ribosomal RNA (506 nucleotides) under uncultured Acidobacteriota bacterium. RNAcentral describes it as "bacterial SSU rRNA". It matches the Rfam family "Bacterial small subunit ribosomal RNA", at positions 355 to 851 of the family's 1533-position model. The record is from RNAcentral. Lineage: Bacteria; Pseudomonadati; Acidobacteriota.